Molecule: ribosomal RNA, 280 nt
Filed under: uncultured archaeon
Lineage: Archaea
Description: partial 16S ribosomal RNA
Rfam family: Archaeal small subunit ribosomal RNA
Source: RNAcentral
AMUUUACAAUGCGRGAAACCGUGAUAGAGGGACUCUGAGUGCCCSUAAAAUCGGGCUGUCCACCUGUUUAAAUAACAGGUGAAGAAAGGGCCGGGCAAGACCGGUGCCAGCCGCCGCGGUAAUACCGGCGGCUCGAGUGGUGGCCACUAUUACUGGGCUUAAAGCGUUCGUAGCUGGUUUGUUAAGUCUCUGGGGAAAUCUUCCGGCUCAACCGGAAGGCGUCUCAGGGAUACUGGCAGACUAGGGACCGAGSGAGGUGAGARGUACUYCAGGGGUAGGA